AGAGUUUGAUUCUGGCUCAGAUUGAACGCUGGCGGCAUGCUUUACACAUGCAAGUCGAACGGCAGCACGGGUGCUUGCACCUGGUGGCGAGUGGCGGACGGGUGAGUAAUGCAUCGGAACGUGUCCUAAAGUGGGGGAUAACGCAUCGAAAGAUGUGCUAAUACCGCAUAUUCUCUGAGGAGGAAAGUAGGGGAUCGAAAGACCUUAUGCUUUUGGAGCGGCCGAUGUCUGAUUAGCUAGUUGGUAGGGUAAUGGCUUACCAAGGCGACGAUCAGUAGUUGGUCUGAGAGGACGACCAGCCACACUGGGACUGAGACACGGCCCAGACUCCUACGGGAGGCAGCAGUGGGGAAUUUUGGACAAUGGGCGCAAGCCUGAUCCAGCAAUGCCGCGUGAGUGAAGAAGGCCUUCGGGUUGUAAAGCUCUUUCAGUUGAAAAGAAAAAGCCGUGACUAAUAAUCAUGGUUCAUGACGGUAUCAACAGAAGAAGCACCGGCUAACUACGUGCCAGCAGCCGCGGUAAUACGUAGGGUGCAAGCGUUAAUCGGAAUUACUGGGCGUAAAGGGUGCGCAGGCGGUUCUGUAAGUCAGAUGUGAAAUCCCCGGGCUUAACCUGGGAACUGCGUUUGAAACUGCAGAGCUAGAGUGCGGCAGAGGGAGGUGGAAUUCCAUGUGUAGCAGUGAAAUGCGUAGAGAUAUGGAAGAACAUCGAUGGCGAAGGCAACCUCCUGGGCUAGCACUGACGCUCAUGCACGAAAGCGUGGGGAGCAAACAGGAUUAGAUACCCUGGUAGUCCACGCCCUAAACUAUGUCAACUAGUUGUCGGGCCUUAAUAGGCUUGGUAACGUAGCUAACGCGUGAAGUUGACCGCCUGGGGAGUACGGUCGCAAGAUUAAAACUCAAAGGAAUUGACGG
Molecule: ribosomal RNA, 914 nt
Filed under: uncultured bacterium
Lineage: Bacteria
Description: bacterial SSU rRNA
Rfam family: Bacterial small subunit ribosomal RNA
Source: RNAcentral